RNAcentral lists this non-coding RNA (25 nucleotides) under Mus musculus (house mouse). Lineage: Eukaryota; Metazoa; Chordata; Mammalia; Rodentia; Muridae. The record is from RNAcentral.
UGAUCAGAAAGAGGUAGGUAAUUGU